GUACAAGAAUGAGAAAAGAUGAACAAAGGAGAAGCCAUAAAAAAUGCAUUCACACAAGUGGUUCAGGAAGUUUUGCUUAGUUUGCUGAUGAAAAGGAAACUAUAGAUGGAUAGUUUUUGGAUUGACUUGAACUUUUUCGUCUGAUGCACACAAAGAAAGAUGAAAAAACACAACUUAUGGUCUUUUUGCUAAUCCUUAAAUUUAAUGACUACUUAUCAUAUUUUUUUUCAAAUGACAUUUUAAACUUUAAAUUAUUUGAAUAUCGUGCAGAAGAAAGCAAAUUCAAGGCUUGUUGGGCAUCAAUAAGCUGCACCGAAUGGGACUUCACUGGAUCCGCAAGAACUUCAAAAUUUGAGUUACUACAAAAGUGUUUGGACCCAAGAGAAAUGGACGAGUGUAAAUUUUCGGAAUAGAUCCGACUUCAUCUCAAUUCUUUGGAUGUGGCUCUCAACGAAAUACUUCGUCACAUGAAGUAGUCAAAGAACUAGAUGACGUCAAAGCAACAAUGGCAAAAAUGCAUGCCAAAAACGAUGAAGAUAGGAGAAAGAUAAGAGGAAAUACACGCACAAAAUGCGCUACUUCUAUAACUGUUGGAUAAAACAAGUUAGUCAACAAAUAUAAAUAUUUAUAUUAAAUAUAAGAUUUGAAUAAAUAAUGUAAACGGGUCAAUUUGCCCGGGCCCAUGUCAAAGCCAAAAUACCAAAAUAAAUCUAAAACCCAUAAAAAUAAAAACCAAUCAAUAGUCCGGGUCCAGUUCCAAAAUCCAAUUACACGGCCCAAAUACAAUGGCCCUAACCCUAGCCCCAUUCGCUCAGUGCCGCAGUAGCCUCCAGCACUACCAUGGCUCGCGCCUCCACGUCGACACCACCAGCAGCCUCUGUACGCGUCAGCUACCCCCACCACGUUGCCUCCG
Molecule: long non-coding RNA, 913 nt
Organism: Gossypium arboreum
Lineage: Eukaryota; Viridiplantae; Streptophyta; Magnoliopsida; Malvales; Malvaceae
Exons: 2
Source: RefSeq, a predicted model, not a curated record